UACGUAGGGGGCAAGCGUUAUCCGGAUUUACUGGGUGUAAAGGGAGCGUAGACGGCUGUGCAAGCCAGAUGUGAAAGCCCGGGGCUCAACCCCGGGACUGCAUUUGGAACUGUGUAGCUGGAGUGUCGGAGAGGCAGGCGGAAUUCCUAGUGUAGCGGUGAAAUGCGUAGAGAUUAGGAAGAACACCGGUGGCGAAGGCGGCUUACUGGACGAUUACUGACGCUGAGGUGCGAAAGCGUGGGGAGCAAACAGG
Molecule: ribosomal RNA, 253 nt
Filed under: uncultured Blautia sp.
Lineage: Bacteria; Bacillati; Bacillota; Clostridia; Lachnospirales; Lachnospiraceae
Description: partial 16S ribosomal RNA
Rfam family: Bacterial small subunit ribosomal RNA
Source: RNAcentral